UAAUACGAAGGGGGCUAGCGUUGUUCGGAAUUACUGGGCGUAAAGCGCGCGCAGGUGGUUUUCCAAGUCAGUGGUGAAAGCCCGGAGCUCAACUCCGGAACUGCCAUUGAAACUGUGAAACUCGAGGACGAGAGAGGUGAGUGGAAUUCCCAGUGUAGAGGUGAAAUUCGUAGAUAUUGGGAAGAACACCGGUGGCGAAGGCGGCUCACUGGCUCGUAUCUGACACUCAAGCGCGACAGCGUGGGGAUCAAACAGGAUUAGAUACCCUGGUAGUCCACGCCGUAAACGAUGAUUGCUAGCCGUUGGGCAGCUUGCUGUUCAGUGGCGCAGCUAACGCAUUAAGCAAUCCGCCUGGGGAGUACGGCCGCAAGGUUG
RNAcentral lists this ribosomal RNA (375 nucleotides) under uncultured bacterium. Its description in RNAcentral is "bacterial SSU rRNA". It matches the Rfam family "Bacterial small subunit ribosomal RNA", at positions 521 to 896 of the family's 1533-position model. The record is from RNAcentral.